Molecule: ribosomal RNA, 301 nt
Filed under: uncultured bacterium
Lineage: Bacteria
Description: partial 16S ribosomal RNA
Rfam family: Bacterial small subunit ribosomal RNA
Source: RNAcentral
CAGCAGCCGCGGUAAUACGAAGGGUGCAAGCGUUAAUCGGAAUUACUGGGCGUAAAGCGUGCGUAGGCGGUGAGUUAAGUCUGCUGUGAAAUCCCCGGGCUCAACCUGGGAAUGGCAGUGGAUACUGGCUCGCUAGAGUGUGUCAGAGGAUGGCGGAAUUCCCGGUGUAGCGGUGAAAUGCGUAGAGAUCGGGAGGAACAUCAGUGGCGAAGGCGGCCAUUUGGGACAACACUGACGCUGAGGCACGAAAGCGUGGGGAGCAAACAGGAUUAGAUACCCCGGUAGUCCCUGUCUCUUAUAA